Chlamydomonas reinhardtii is the source of this 82-nucleotide non-coding RNA. NCBI's taxonomy places the organism in Eukaryota, Viridiplantae, Chlorophyta, Chlorophyceae, Chlamydomonadales, Chlamydomonadaceae. The record is from Rfam.
GGGAGUUUGGUCUAGUGGUAUGAUUCUCGCUUAGGGAAGCCUAGCAUGCGAGAGGUCGUGGGUUCAAUUCCCGCAACUCCCC